CCCUCCCGCAACCUGCGGGCGGCGGCGACCUGGCCCUCGCGCGCUCCGGGGCUAGAGGUUUAGGGGACCGCGGGCCCGAUUGGGGUGGCGGUGAUUGUCGCUGACCCGGAAGAAGCUUGGCUCGCCCGAAGGAGGGGAGGAUUAAUGACAAAGACUGCCCCGUUCUUUCCCAUUCAAUCCAGUCUUCGGGGGCGCGCCUAGUCAAAGAGACGAAUGGGGGAAGGGGUGUGCGUGUGUGUGUGUGUGUGUGUGUGUGUGUGUUUAGGGAGGGGAGACGCCAGCGACGAAACGCCUGCAGACUCACCCUGGAUAGAUUUCUUAAAAACUAAAAAGGUGCGGCGGGGAACAAGGGGCGUAGGCACAAGCCAUAGCUUCUUGUCCUUUGCAGUAAGACAUUCAUUUGUUUAAGGUGGCAAGGCCUCCUUUUUAUGGAUCCAGGUUGUCGCCGAGGUGUGUCUCAGUGUGUGACCUCCCCGGCGCCCAGAACAGUGUGCACUUCAGCGUGUGGGACGUUGUAUUCCAGGAGCCACCGUGUGCCGACACCUUGGUGUGCCCACAGCUGUGCAGAAUGAAUCACAGAUACCAGAGAUGGAAAACACCUGUUACUGUCGGUCAUCGAGCUUGGCAAGCACUGGACAAAGGCCAAUGAAUCCAUGGAUGAUCACACCACUAAUGGAAUAACUCAUUACUGCUAAGAGAUGCUGGAAGAUUUCUUACAGAAGGUGUAUGUGGAACUAUUUGGAUGGAAAGAACUGGGUGUGGUACCCAGCAGAGGGCACAGUGCUCCUGCUGGUUUUAUGGGUCUCAGGCUCUGGAUCUGCGCUGGGUUCUGACCUUGCUUCUGCUUCUGUGAGUCUCUGCCUUUCCCACUGCCUACCGGUCUUAGAAGACUGAAGUCCCUUUUCUUCCCGGACUCACUCUGGAGCUUGCAUACCUUCUAAAUAGAUGGCAUGCACUGCUUUUUCUCUUCCUUAAGCUCAGUUUCUUAAGCAUAUGCGAAAGACAUAUAUUUGAAUCUCUUUUAUACUAAUCUAAGCUGUUCAGGGUUUGGUCACAUGCCAACCAAACCAGAGCUAUUUUGGGGGAUGUUUUUCUAAUUGCAUUCAACUUCACAAUUUACCUGAGAAAAUUACAGCAUUUCUAUCACCAGUUUUUAUCCAUAUUCAAUCUUCAAUCAUCCCUCUGUGGAAAAGUGGGAGAUUUUUAACUGUUUCAUGUCCGCUUCUAGCAUUAGCCAUAUGAGGCUAAUGUAAGCUUCAUAUUUUCACUUAUGUCACCAUCUGUCCCCUCACCCUCACCCCAACAACAAAUUUCUCUAUGAUUCCGGGGCCCAGUUCAGCCUGGCCUUAGUUAGAAAAAUAAGGCCUCUCUGCCUAUCCCUGCUCUCUCCUACUACUCAAUCCACUCUGCACCCUCUAACCUUCCCAUCUCCAAUGUCAACUGUAGCCCUCCAUAGGGGCCAUGAUGUCAUUAUUUGAAUUUGCUAGCAUCCUUCUCUUAGGGGAUUCUUUCUUCCCCUAUUCCAUGUGGUCCUGGUGGAGCUGUCAAUCAUGGUGUCUGAGGUUCCCCCUCCCCCAGUUACAAGUGCCUAUUCCACUCUUGGCCAAUCAUAUUAUUCCAUCUCCAUACCCCACAGUGAUUGGUUCAGGGAGGGGCAUAUGACCCAAGUACAGACCAUCAGAGAUUUCCAUGAGAUUUAUAUACAGCUAUUGGGAGAGAGAAGUUCUUUAAGCUGGAAGAAUUUGAGGUGCUGCCUAUCAGUUGUCAUCUUGCUCACCACUUGGGAAAGGCCUAUCUGAAAAAUGAAGUUGAGGGGCCGGCCCUCUGGCGGAGUUAAGUUCCCAUGUUCUCUUCGGCCCCUGGGGGUUUCCCUGGUUUGGAUCCCGGACACUGACAAGGCACCCCUCAUGGGGCCACGUUGAGGUGGGUCCAGCAUGCCACAACUAGAAGGACCCACAACUAAAAUAUACAACUGUGUGCUGGGGGAAUUUUGGGAGAAAAAGCAGGAAAAAGAAAAGAUUGGCAACAGUUGUUAGCUCAGGUGCCAAUCUUUGAAAAAAAGAAAAGAAGUUGAACAGAGGCAAAAAGGAUAUGAGGGAGAGACAGAGCUCUGGUGGUAUCAAUUCAGUUCUUGGACCCAGCAGUUUUUAACACCAGAUACCCCCUUGGACUUCCUAGUAUGUGAACCAAUGAAUUCCCCUUUAUACCUGAGCUGACUGAGUUGUCAUCUACAAUUGAAAAACUAUUGACGUAUUCCUUCUCAGAUAUUUACCCUCUUCACCCACCUCCUAUUGCCACCCCAGUUUGGCUGCUAUUACAUGUGGCUGGCAGCUAAAGCUGUGUCCCUCUGCCUAGAAAACAUUCAUUUAAAGAAUUCUUUUAUACUCACUAAAAAAUAGUUUACUUAUUCCGUUAUUCUUAACUUUGUAUUAUAGAAAAAUUUAACCAUAAGCAAAAGAAAGAAUAGUAUAACAAAUCUUCAAGAACCCAUCUCCCAGCCAGCAUAAACAAUGAACAGCAACCAAUAUUUAUUGACAUAUGCUCAGUUUUCCAUGUUUCCAUUCUCUCUUACAUCUCCAUGCCUUUGGACUCACAGUUGCCUCUAUGUUUCAUCUUUCUGUAUUUUUCAUUUGCUUACUCUUAGAACAUUAGGUCUUUCAGCCAAAGUCACCCAGAUUUGCUUCAAGAUUUAGCACAGGUAUCAUUUCUACUAUGAAGCCUUAUUGACUUCCAUAUACAAGUUGGGUGUUCCUUCUGCUCUUUUCUGGUAGCUCCUUCUUCAUACUUUUAUAUUACAAAACGCUUAUUCAUUCAACAAACAUCUAUUGAAAAAUUUCACCAUUUCAGGCACUGGAGAACUAGCAAUGAACAAAACAGGCAAAAAUUCUCACCUUCAUGGAGUGGAGGGAGACUGACAAUAAACAUCAUAAGUAAAUAAAUUAUAUUGGAUGUUAGAAUGUGAUAAGUGCAACAAAAAAAAGGGAGUUUAAGGGGAAUUGUGUGUAUAUUCAAAUUUUAAAUAAGGAAGAUCAGAGAGGCUGUGCUUAUUAUACUGCAUAAUGGAUACCUGCUUACUUUUUUGUCUCUGCAACUGGACUACAUCUUCUUGAAAGCAGGGAUUGUGUCUUACUCUUUUUGUAGCCCCAGCACCUAGUACAGUAGUGCAUUUUGUAACAGUUGUGGAAUAAAUAGAAUAAACAAAAAAUACAAGACACAAACUCGAAAGACUUUUGGUGUCAAGGAAGCUUUUUUAAAGAUAGUACAUAUACAUGGAAAAAAAUUCAAACAGUUCUCUCUGUAAAAGAGUAUAUAAUACAAAUCAAAUUUUCCAUCUAGCCCUGGGCCAGUCCUCCAAAAUUCAUCCCGAUGGCAUCCACUGUUACUUAUUUUUUUAUGCAUCACGCCAGAGAUUAUCUACCUAUCAUCUAUCUAUCUAUUGAUCAAUCUAAAAUUAUGAGUAUUAUCUUGGAAAUCAUUUUAUUUCAGUAUAUUCAGAACUGCCACAUUUUAAAAUUUAGCUAUACACUAUCGUCUGUACAUAUGUAUUGGAAUAUAUUUUACCAGGCUUCAGUUGAUGGAUAUUUAAGUAGUAAUGAAGCUGUAUUGAUGAACCACUCAGCUCUUUGGGAAGUCAGGUUGUGCUGAUUCUGAUGAUCAAAUCUUUCAUACUUAACUAAGUCAACACCUCCCCAUCGGGGAGGAGGCCAGUCUCUACACCUCUUCAUGUAUUAUUUAGUUUAACCACAACCUCCUGAAGCUGUUAUUAUGAUGCUCACUUUACAAAGAAGAAACCUGAGUUUUUCAGAGGUUAGGUAAUUUGGCCAAGAUCAUACAGCUUGGAAGCAGGGAGCAGGCCUGUCUGACUCCACAGGCCAUGUUUUGCCACCAUUGGAGUUUUGGGUUCUUCGGCUAGGGAUGAAACAGAGAGGAUUUACACAGACUGCCUAGUAGACUGUCUUAGAUGAUCUUUAAGAUUCUUUCAGAAUUUGGAAAUGCUCUAACACUGUGCCACCUACAACUGGCCGUUCUCUGCUAUUUUCUUUCUGGCUUUGUGCCCUGGGAGACUGACCCCUGCACCAACUGGGCUCCUUUGCCCUCUUGCUGCUGGUCAGCUUUCCCCAAAGGCAAGCACCAGCAUGAGACUGGAGGAUGGGGGAACAGAGAGAUUAAUAGAUUUCUUUCCCACUCCCUCCCUGCUUUGGCACCACAGUUUUAGGGGUGACCAUGUCCCACCAUUAGGAUAGUUAUGGGAGGGUGCCCCCUUCUCCUUGGGUCCACCUGUCAAUGGACUCUGGUAACACAAUUUCUGCCUUUUGCCCAAAUAUCUUCCCUCUCCUUCUAGUCUCUGGAUGUUUCAGCAUUCUUUCUUGGUUCCUAUAACCAUGCCCACACUUUUGUAAAUAGUCUCCAUAUUAAAAGUCUCUUCAGGUGAACCAUUUAUAAUUAGAUUUUAUUUCCUGUCAUGAUCCUAUUGUAAAUACUAUUUUAAGAUAUGCCUUUCAGGGACUCUUAAAGACCUGAUACUACAAGACCCAAUGAAAUUUAUCUCUAAUGGUAAAAUUUCAGGUUAGUAGGGCCAGCUCUUUGGAGCUAAUCUAGACCUUUUAACUCUCAAAUUCUAUCUACUUGGCAGCAGCUUACUUGGCCAAGCACUGAGAACUCCUCUCCUAUUGGUGUGUGAGGUUGUCAGCAGAUGGAUUUUUUUGUCAUUGAUCUAUUUCUUAUAAUUUUAUGUAUGCAUCAGUAGGCAUUUAACAUUUUAACAGCGUUUUCUAAGACACACACAUACACAACUUUUCUUCCCCUACAGAACUGCUGGAGAGAUGUAUUAGUUAUCUAUAGCUGCAUAACAAAUUACCACAAAACUUAGCAGCUUAAAAUGUUAUUUGUGGUUUUUAAACAAACCCACAGUUUCUGUGAGAGUGUCUUAGUUGAGUAAUUCUGGCUCAAGUUCCUUCAGGAAGUUGUAGUCAAGCUGUCGGCUGGCACUGAAGUUGUCCGAAGGUUCUGCUGGAGGAGGUUCCAGUUCCAAGCUUAUUCACAUCAUUGUUGGCAGGCCUCCAUUCCUCGCUGGCUGUUGAUUGGACAUAGUUCCUUACCAGAGUAAGUUUUUUUACACCCCCUGUGAGGACCAGUUUUCAUCUCCCCCAUUGAGAAUGCAUGAUCCAAGGUGACACUUGGUUUCUCUACAGAACUGUCCUAACCAGCUGCGGAUACCAAAAGUGUGAGUCAUUUGUUGACAAUACAUGAUUAUCAAGAUGAAGUCUUUGUUUAAUUGGUUUUAAUUAUUACCACCAACCCCAGAAACUGGCUACAAGUGAACUCGUCAUGAGCUUAAAUAGAAGUGAAUGCAGUUUUUCUGACUAAGCCUAAAUAUGAUUUUAUAAAUGGAAAAAACUGAUCCUAAGAAGUAGCAAUCUGGGCUUUGUCUUUCACCUGCAUCUGCCUUUGAGUGGACUUACUGAAGAGCUUUGGGUGUCACCUGGAGAUGUCACCAGGGGGAUCGGAUCUGGCCGUCAAAACUCUGCCACAUUCUGGAAACCAUUGGGGAUAAAAUAAUAAAGUUGAAAGAAAAAGCUGGUAGUCUAUGAAGUGCUUUGAAUCCCUUUGAAAUAAACAUAAUCUGAGGUUUGAAAAAUAUUCCUAUUCCUUAUUGAAUAAGUGUCAAAAUACCACUGGGUCUCCCUUUUGUGGAUGAUUUUCCACUCAGUAGCUGUGUGCUUCCCCUAAGCUUGUAUGUUUUGUUCCUUUUAACUACUGGAAAUUUCUUCUGGGCAGAGACUAUCAUGAAGAAAUCAAUCCUGUCUCUUGUGUACCUUGGAUUAUUAUAAACUUGACUAUGAAAAUCAUCUCAAAAAUCCUUAUUUACAAGAUUAUUAAUUGGUCCAGACAUACCAGGACAGUUGGCUCUAUACUGACAAGUUGGGGAUGGCUCUUUACAAAUGACUUUUUCAGGGAUUAAUAAUUAGAGAAGGAAACCUGGUCUGGGGAUAUUUGCCAGAAGUGCCGAUUUCCAUUUUGCAGUGAAUCAACAUAGAUACAUUCCUUUCUUCCUCUUAAACUGUGGUUCUCAAUCCUAGCUGUACACUGGAACAACUAGGCAAACCUUAAAAAUGCUGAUGCCUAGGCCUCACCUCAGAGAUUCUGAUUUAAUUGGUUGGGGUUGUAGCCUGGGCAUCAGGAUUUUUAACCUACUUACAUGAAAAUCUCUGGGGUUGGGUCUCAGGCAUCAGUACUUUUUAAAGCUCUCCAGGUGAUUCCAGCAUGCAACUAGAGCUGAGAACCACUGCCUCAAGCCUAGCUUCUUUUUGAGCAUGUAAGUCAAAAUUCACUCAACAGAGUAGGUACUUAAUAAAUUUUUACUCAUUGAUGGAUGAAUCAUAUAGAGUUAGAAAGCCUGGGUUUUACUUCCAAUUCUGCUACUAACUACCUGUGCAAGUUACUUCCCUCUCCUUCGCCCUAACUUACUUAUCUGCAAAGUGAGGAAAAUGGGCCUUAUUACAUCUAAGGCAUUUUCCUGUUCCAACUUUCUAUGGCUAAUACUAAUUGUUUCUUUGUAUUUUAAAGCUACAAAGGGUCCUUGAAACUUUUGUAGGAUUUGGUUUAUCAGAUAAAUAAAAGGGAAUAGUGCCACCAUUCUUCUUUGGCCAGUUAACUUUCACUGAACAGCUUUAGUAAUUUAUCACCUAAUUACUAGGUGCUGGACACUGAACAAAACUAAUGUAAUUUCUUUCCUCAUGGAACACAGGGGAAGAGGCUGCCCUUACAUAGAGUGAUCAUGAAGGUUAUAGUUAAGCAGAAACCUGAUAGGAGGUGUUAAUUCACUCAACAUUCAACAAAUAUCUAUUGAGCUCUUCCUACGGGCCAGGGUUUACUCUUGGUGUUAGAAAUAGAGCAGUGAAAAAAACCAAAGUCCUUUACUUGAGGAGCUUGCAUUCUGGAAGUGAAAAGGAGGCAAAGGUGGUCUGGAGUCUGUGUGUUUAUGGGAGUGGUGGGUGGAAUGGGGGUGCAUCUCAGGCCAAGGAACUAGGUGGUGGAAAGAUCCUGCGGAGGUUAGCUGGUUAUUUCAGGAACUAAAAGCAGGCCAGUGUGGCUAAAACAUAGUGAGGGUAGUGAGACUUGGUUGGAGAGAUGAACUGGUGCUGGACCACAGAGAUUUUUCAGGCCAUGAAAAUGAGUUAAGAAGGUUAAAUAUUCCAUAUUUGGUUUAUGAAAAGCCUCUAGCAUGAAUUUGAAUUGAGUCUGGGUUUGAAACAACUGUGCAGGGUUAGUACCUCAGCUGAUGAUUGAGCCCCACUUAUAUACCUUAAUUAGCCAUAUUCUUGAAUUUGGAAAUGCAAGAACUUCUGCAAUGUCUGUAUAUUGUUUACCCACAAGGCUGCUAUAAUACUAGUUGGUUGGUGGAGUCAUGGCAGUAGUGAGUAUGUGUGCAUCCCUGGGAUGGAGGAUGGAGCUAUAGCCUGUCUGAAUCUUAAAGGUCAAAGAUCAUGACCCAUAAAAAAAGGUCUUAUCAAAGGAUUUAUAGAGAUCUACAGUAGCACCAAGAAACAUAUUUGGUCAUUUAUUCAUUUGUUAAUU
Non-coding RNA from Equus caballus (horse), 7578 nucleotides. Lineage: Eukaryota; Metazoa; Chordata; Mammalia; Perissodactyla; Equidae. The record is from RefSeq and is a predicted model, not a curated record.